Pristis pectinata (smalltooth sawfish) is the source of this 1155-nucleotide long non-coding RNA. RefSeq lists it as uncharacterized. NCBI's taxonomy places the organism in Eukaryota, Metazoa, Chordata, Chondrichthyes, Rhinopristiformes, Pristidae. The transcript is spliced from 5 exons. The record is from RefSeq and is a predicted model, not a curated record.
UUGAUGGACUGGGGGCUGCUGGCGGCCGAGGGGCCAGGCUGAUGUCCUCCGGGUGGGGGAAAGUCUUCCCCCUCCUCUGCUGGGAUAAAUACAGGUGUCCGUCUGCUUUGUCUGAAAAACAACAACACCGGCCUGAAAACUUUCUUCCCCCAUGACGCGUUCACAGCUGCGGUUACUGUACACCGCCUUCAACGCUGGAGACCUGCCUGGGUGUUUCUGUCAUUUCAGGGUCUGCCUCUAUAAUAUUCUCCACACUCAAAGGCAAUGGAGACAAUGGCCUGAAUUGUGUGGAGUGCUAGGUGGUGGUUCCGAAUGGGACAAUCUUCUAUCAGUUCUUAAGGCCUCAGCACACCUCAGAAUUCUGCCUUCCGUGGAAAUCCAAAUUGAACUAAAGGUUUUGUUUCAUGACAUACAAGAGUUGCAUACAAUUUAGCUGCUUGGAGAGAGGAGAAACGCAAACAAUUCUAAAUGCGUGGAGAUAAUCAACUAAAAUAUGUUAAGAAUGCCAAAUCACUAAAUCUUGCAGUGAAUUCAUUUAAAAGGUGUGCUUGCUGAGGUAAAUAAUACUUAACAUUGCUUACAGUCAAUCUAGAAUAUGGUGGAUUGUGAAAUCUUAAGCAUGAAUUAGUAAAAUAUAAAUUUAAAUAAAAUAUCUGAAAGAACUGAUCAAAGGUCAUAGAUUCAAAAUGUUAAUUUUGUUUCCCUCUUCACAGAUGUUGCAUGGUUUACUGGGUGUUUCCAGCAUUUUCUAGUUUCAUGUCACAAAGAAUUUCUGUAUGUAAAGAAUGGUAACUCUCUGAAUUACCUCACAGUAUGUUUCCAUGGAGCUUCUCACCCAGAAGGUUGCAAAGUAAGUUACUACCAACUGGAUGAUAACAGGUGCCUUGGACCUGCACUUUUCCCAUGUGAUGAGUUUCUGCAUACACUCACAAAGAAGGAAGGAACAUUAGAGAAUGGAUCAACCUUUGCCAUCUGUACUCCUCUGUUAACAGAGAGCCAUUGAGGAAGAACUGGAACUGGAAAAUCAUCUUUCCUCUCCUAAACCACUCCGCCAAAGAAAACUUGAAUCCACAACACAAGGACGUUUUAACAUCUGAUUCCAAAAUCUGGAAAUUCAAGUAACUGUGAAGUUGUAGUCUGAUCCUUAUAAUCCAA